RNAcentral lists this long non-coding RNA (2810 nucleotides) under Salvia miltiorrhiza (redroot sage). RNAcentral's name for it is "long non-coding RNA (SMIL_LNC006771)". The record is from RNAcentral. Lineage: Eukaryota; Viridiplantae; Streptophyta; Magnoliopsida; Lamiales; Lamiaceae.
GCUUUGCUCAUGUAAGCAAUAGGUUUCUGAUUCUGCAUGAGAACAGCUCCCACUCCAACUCUACUGGCAUCAGUCUCUAAUGUGAAAGGUUGAGUAAAAUCAGGCAAUGCUAACACUGGUGCAGACACCAUAGCUUGUUUCAAACCAUCAAAGGCUCUAGUAGCUUCAGGAGACCACUUAAAACUGUCUUUUUUUAAGAGUUCAGUGAGGGCUUGCUGAUCAACCCAUAAUGCCUAAUGAAUUUCCUAUAAUAUCCAGUCAGCCCAAGAAACCCCCUCAGUUGCUUAAGAGUCUUUGGAACAGGCCAGCUAAGCAUGCUAUCCACCUUCUGUGGAUCAGUAGCAACUCCAUCCUUGGAUAUGAUAUGGCCUAGAUACUCAAUACUUUGCACACCAAAUUGGCACUUACUCAUUUUUGCAUACAAAGUUUGUGAUCUGAGCACCUCCAACACAACCUUGAUAUGCAAUAGAUGUUCCAUAUACCCUUUACUGUAGACCAGAAUAUCAUCAAAGAAAACCAGUACACAUUUCCUCAAAUAUGGUUGAAAUACCUGAUUCAUUAAUGACUGAAAUGUUGCAGGGCAUUACAAAGACCAAAAGGCAUCACCAAGAAUUCAAAAUGCCCAUGAUGAGUGCUAAAAGCUGUCAGGUAUCUAUCUUCCUCCUUCAUUAAAAUCUGAAAAUACCCAGAUCUCAAGUCUAACUUAGAGAAGUAGCUAGCUCCGUACAACUCAUCAAGCAACUCAUCAAUAAUUGGAAUAGGAUAAUCAUGUUUAACAGUGAGCGAGUUAAAUACCUAUAAUCAAUACACAUUCUCCAAGAACCAUCCUUCUUCUUCACUAAAAUUGCUGGAGAAGCAAAAGGGCUCCUGCUGUUUUGAAUAGUACAGAGUCCAGUAACUCUUUUACUAUCCUCUCAAUCUCAUCUUUAUUACUAUGUGUUGUUCUGUAGGGAAAUUGGUGUUUGGGUACACUGCCAGGCUUAAGUACAAUUGGUGUCAACCCCUCUCUUUGGUGGUAGUCCUUGUGGCUCAUCAAAGACAUCCUUGUACUCCUCCAGAAGUGCAUAAAUAGAUGUAGAAACAUGGUGUUGUGCUGCAUUUUCCUGAGGCAGAAUCAGGUACAUCUCUUUCAACCCUUUGAUGGUAAUGUAUUAACUGAUAUAGGCCAUCUGUGGUUAUCAUCUGAAAAUGAGCAGAAUCGGUAACAACUCUUAACUUAACCUUUUUGCCUCUAGUAAAAACUGUGAAAGUCAUGUUAUCAUAGUCUAAGCCAAUGUGUGUUGAAAAUUUUAGCCAAUCACUGCCAAGAAUCAAAUCAUACCCCUCAUUUCCCAAGAUUCUAGGUGAGAACAUGAAUUGGUGGCCCUGGAUAGUCCAGGCAAAAUUUUGAGCCCUUUGUUUACUUAUCAACCUAUGCCCAGUAGCUGACUUAACAAUGAUAGGUUUAUCCUUCUCAAGGCAUAAACCCAACUCCUUAGCCAUACCUUCUCUUAAAAAACUAAGAGUACUCCCUGUGUCCACAAGUAUCUUUAACUGCUUACUACCAACUUCACCUACAACUCUCAUGGUAGUAGAGUUUGGGCUGUUCAUUAAAGAUUCCAUAGUCAUAUACACUUCCUCAACUGUCUGGUCCUCUCCACAAAUAACAUCCACUUCUUCCUCUGCAUGUUGCAAGUGAGCUAACUCUUGCUCCUCAUCCAUGGUCAUGUAAAAUACCUUGUGCUUACACUUAUGUCCAAAAACAUAUUUCUCAUCACAGUUAUAACAUAAUCAUUUCUCCCUCCUUGCAGCCAUCUCUGCACUGGUUAACAGCUUGACUGAGGACUUAGUGUUGUUGGGAGUAUUGGGCUUGUGUAUCACAGUAACAUCAGGCCUCUUGUAGUUAUUUCCCUGCAACUGAAAUGGUUUCUGGGUUGGUUUAACUCUUCUUGAUAAAGCUUCCAAGGUAAAUAAUUGUUGCUUCCCAGUUUCAAUAGCUUCCAUCAGAGUUUUAGGUUUGAAUAAAAGCAUGAACCCUUGCAUCUCAUCCGAUAAACCACUAAUAAAGUUAGCCACAAAGUAUUCUUCAGCAUAGGUCAUGCUGCUGCUCAGUAACAAACAUGCUCUAAGCUCCUCAAACUUCUCCACAUAACUGUCAUAGCUACCUGUUUGUUUGAGGCUCUUGAAUUACAUCAUUAUCUUUCCCUCAUUCAAGUCAUCAAACUUAAUAGCUACUACUUCCAAAAACUGUUCCCAAGUAAUAGCAAAUAGUUGAUCACACCCGAAAUUUUGUAACCAUUGGAGGGCUUUGCCCUCAAAAUUGUGGACUGCUAGUUGAACCAUGUUUUCCUCGGACAUAGCCGCAGAUAACUUGAAGUAUGUGUUGCACUUAAUGAUCCAAGCUCUAGGAUUAGUACCAUCAAACUUAGGAAAAUCGAUUCUAUGAAAAGAAUUUCCAGAACUUGAGCCAGAUUGGGUAGAAUAGUCAGAUUUAAACCCUGAAGAGAAAUUACUAGUUUAGUGGAAUUACCCUCUUUCCUUGCUGAGAAAGGUGUUGGACCCAGAAUAGAUUGAUUCCCAGCUUCCUUCCCUUUGUUCAACCCCAGCAGAUGUUGUUUGAUUUCUUCCAAUGACUUUGCCAUCUGAUCAUAUUUACUAUCCAUUUUCUGAUCAAGCCCUUUGAUCUGCUCUUUCAACUGGUGUUCACUAACAUUCCUCUUUAUUGCUUCAGCUUGCAGUUGCUGAUCCAGUUUUUUGUGCGCAUCAUGCAACUCCUUCACACACGUGCCGUCUGCCAUGCCCAGCCCUGAUCUUUGCUAAAUAGAAGCAAA